CAAUAGCGUAUAUUUAAGUUGUUGCAGUUAAAAAGCUCGUAGUCGGAUUUUGGCUGAGAACGAUCGGUCCGCCGUUAGGUGUGCACUGAUUGGUCUCAGCUUCCUGGUGAGGAGGUGUGCUUCACGGCCACUUAGUCACCGUGGUUACUUUGAAAAAAUUAGAGUGUUCAAAGCGGGCUUACGCUUGAAUAUAUUAGCAUGGAAUAACACCAUAGGACUCCUGUCCUAUUUCGUUGGUCUCGGGACGGGAGUAAUGAUUAAGAGGAACAGUUGGGGGCAUUCGUAUUUCAUUGUCAGAGGUGAAAUUCUUGGAUUUAUGAAAGACGAACUUCUGCGAAAGCAUUUGCCAAGGAUGUUUUCAUUG
RNAcentral lists this ribosomal RNA (364 nucleotides) under uncultured eukaryote. RNAcentral describes it as "partial 18S ribosomal RNA". It matches the Rfam family "Eukaryotic small subunit ribosomal RNA", at positions 592 to 975 of the family's 1831-position model. The record is from RNAcentral.